Molecule: ribosomal RNA, 253 nt
Filed under: uncultured bacterium
Lineage: Bacteria
Description: partial 16S ribosomal RNA
Rfam family: Bacterial small subunit ribosomal RNA
Source: RNAcentral
UACGUGGGGGGCAAGCGUUGUUCGGAAUUACUGGGCGUAAAGGGCUCGUAGGUGGCCAACUAAGUCAGACGUGAAAUCCCUCGGCUUAACCGGGGAACUGCGUCUGAUACUGGAUGGCUUGAGUUCGGGAGAGGGAUGCGGAAUUCCAGGUGUAGCGGUGAAAUGCGCAGAUAUCAGGAGGAACACCAAUUGCGAAGGCAGCUCGCUGGGACGUUACUGACGCUGAGACGCGAAAGCGUGGGGAGCAAACAGG